This 379-nucleotide unclassified non-coding RNA is filed under the name soil metagenome. RNAcentral's name for it is "partial contains 5.8S ribosomal RNA, internal transcribed spacer 2, and large subunit ribosomal RNA". The stretch from base 1 to 120 matches the Rfam family "5.8S ribosomal RNA", at positions 35 to 154 of the family's 154-position model. The record is from RNAcentral.
GAUGAAGAACGUAGCGAAAUGCGAUAAGUAAUGUGAAUUGCAGAAUUCAGUGAAUCAUCGAAUCUUUGAACGCACCUUGCACCCUUUGGCAUUCCGAAGGGUAUGCUCGUUUGAGUGUCAUUGUACUCUCACACUUCCAAUUCUUUGGAUUGGGAGCGGUGGACUUGGGUGCUGCUGCUUACCGUGGCUCACCUCAAAUGUGUUAGUGCAACCGUUGGUUAGACAUAGUACAGCGUGAUAAGUAUCUUCGCUGGCGCCUCACUCGAGGGUGGCUGAUCAGGGCUCUGUGCCCCCAAUCGUCUUCGGACAAUCACUGACAACUUGACCUCAAAUCGAGUAGGACUACCCGCUGAACUUAAGCAUAUCAAUAAGCGGAGGA